Molecule: long non-coding RNA, 544 nt
Organism: Carassius carassius (crucian carp)
Lineage: Eukaryota; Metazoa; Chordata; Actinopteri; Cypriniformes; Cyprinidae
Exons: 3
Source: RefSeq, a predicted model, not a curated record
UUUUCUCUCCCCUUUUUUAUUUUAUUUUUAGCUGAAAAGACGUAAAGGCAGUCAGCCCAGUGGUGUUUCUGGAGAGGGAUUCCUUCAGAAAUGGAGAAGACAGAAAGCUGCGGAGGCAGACAUUUGCAGCAGAUUGUUUGCAGAUAAUGCUGUUCUUCUUUUUCAGGUCUACAAUAUUGAGCUCAACAGCUCUUUUAAGAGCCAACCCUCAUAAACCUUCCUAAAAACUAAAAGAGCUAUUACUGAGUCUCAGUGAAUCUAGCCAUGAUCAGCUCUUCCCAGAAGAGAAGGAAGACCAAGGAAAUUAUUUGCUCAGGAUGAGAAAUGAAGACGGCCAUCUUGUGCUCAUACAAACAGAAGUCCUCUGGUAUGUGUGUAUUGAAGCAAUGCUGUGUUAUACAGCACUUUAUGAUGAUCUCUCACAGAACUGUUCAUGUCAGCCUUGAUUUUUUUUAAUACUAUUACAAUUACAGCAUGUUAGCAAAGUGUGACUGGACAUUGGACAUCUUAUGUUUUUAAAAACACACCACCUGUUUUAAAAGCA